This 253-nucleotide ribosomal RNA is filed under the name uncultured bacterium. RNAcentral describes it as "partial 16S ribosomal RNA". It matches the Rfam family "Bacterial small subunit ribosomal RNA", at positions 524 to 776 of the family's 1533-position model. The record is from RNAcentral.
UACGGGGGGGGCAAGCGUUGUUCGGAAUUACUGGGCGUAAAGGGCUCGUAGGCGGCCAACUAAGUCGGACGUGAAAUCCCCAGGCUCAACUUGGGAACUGCGUCCGAUACUGGAUGGCUUGAAUUCGGGAGAGGGAUGCAGAAUUCCAGGCGUAGCGGUGAAAUGCGUAGAUAUCUGGAGGAAUACCGGUGGCGAAGGCGGCAUCCUGGACCGACAUUGACGCUGAUGAGCGAAAGCCAGGGGAGCAAACGGG